CCUACGGGUGGCAGCAGUGAGGAAUAUUGGUCAAUGGGAGAGAUCCUGAACCAGCCAAGCCGCGUGAGGGAAGACGGCCCUAUGGGUUGUAAACCUCUUUUGUCGGAGAACAAAACCCGGGACGAGUCCCGGACUGCGUGUAUCCGAAGAAAAAGCAUCGGCUAACUCCGUGCCAGCAGCCGCGGUAAUACGGAGGAUGCGAGCGUUAUCCGGAUUUAUUGGGUUUAAAGGGUGGGUAGGCGGUCUGUUAAGUCAGAGGUAAACUUGCGGGGCUCAACCCCGUCGAGCCGUUGAAACUGGCAGACUUGAGUGGGCGAGAAGUACGCGGAAUGCGCGGUGUAGCGGUGAAAUGCAUAGAUAUCGCGAAGAACUCCGAUUGCGAAGGCAGCGUACUGGCGCCAGACUGACGCUGAGGCACGAAAGCGUGGGGAUCGAACAGGAUUAGAUACCCCAGUAGUC
RNAcentral lists this ribosomal RNA (459 nucleotides) under uncultured bacterium. RNAcentral's name for it is "partial 16S ribosomal RNA". It matches the Rfam family "Bacterial small subunit ribosomal RNA", at positions 338 to 795 of the family's 1533-position model. The record is from RNAcentral.